This 578-nucleotide ribosomal RNA is filed under the name uncultured bacterium. RNAcentral describes it as "bacterial SSU rRNA". It matches the Rfam family "Bacterial small subunit ribosomal RNA", at positions 102 to 676 of the family's 1533-position model. The record is from RNAcentral.
ACGGGUGAGUAAUGCACAGGAAUUUACCUCAAAGCGGGGGAUAACCCGGGGAAACUCGGGCUAAUACCGCAUGUUCUCUACGGAGCAAAGAAGGGGAUCUUACGACCUUUCACUUUGAGAAAAGCCUGUGUCGGAUUAGCUUGUUGGUGGGGUAAUGGCCUACCAAGGCGACGAUCCGUAGCUGGUCUGAGAGGACGAACAGCCACACUGGGACUGAGACACGGCCCAGACUCCUACGGGAGGCAGCAGUGGGGAAUAUUGGACAAUGGGCGAAAGCCUGAUCCAGCAAUGCCGCGUGUGUGAAGAAGGCCUUCGGGUUGUAAAGCACUUUUAGUGGGGAAGAAACAGCUUUGGCUAAUAUCCAAAGAAACUGACGGUACCCAAAGAAUAAGCACCGGCUAACUCUGUGCCAGCAGCCGCGGUAAGACAGAGGGUGCAAGCGUUAAUCGGAAUUACUGGGCGUAAAGAGCUCGUAGGUGGUUUAUUAAGUCGGAUGUUAAAGCCCUGGGCUUAACCUAGGAAUGUCAUUCGAUACUAAUAGACUAGAGGUGGAUAGAGGAAGGUGGAAUUUCCGGUGU